GCUUCUUAUACUCCGGCCUUCAGGACACCCACCCUCCCCUGAGAAGUGGCUAAGGGCUCCAGCAGACGUGCGGCUCCGUGGAUGAAGAAUUCUGUUGUCUAUAAUCCCAGGAACAGUACUAUCAAAAUACUUUUGUUUAAAAUGAGAUGAGCAUUGUCACAAUUUGGAAGAGAUCUUCCCAGCAGCUUUUGGCAUGUAAUGCAAAAGAGCUAAGCUACAAUAAAUUGUACAGGUGGGCUUCAAUGGUUAACCACUCCUCACCGCUCCAAACUUGACUUUUUAGAUGCAUAAAAAGAAAGUAAAUCAACUCUUAGAUGGAGAUACAUUUUUGGAAGAUGAGAACAUUCCCUUUGAUGAGAAACAAGGAAAGGAAAGGAUGGGAAAUGAAGAAUUCACUAACCCCAGUUUCAGGAGGCCAGAUGAAUCCAACAAUGCUGCACUGAGUUGUGCUUCUCCUGAAUGGUCUGGUCACACAGCCCUGGAGUGUCCCCACAUUAGUUAUGAUAUACUACUUUACAAGUUUUAAAGAUAUGUAAAUAUAAGUUAUUGUUAUAGGCAACUAAGUCAUAUGGUAGAUAGAAUAGCUGAACCUAGAGUUGGGAGAACUUCAGUUCAACUUUGACUUCAAACAUCUACAAGUUGUGUGACUUUAAAGGUACUUAUUAAACAUU
Sarcophilus harrisii (Tasmanian devil) is the source of this 671-nucleotide long non-coding RNA. RefSeq lists it as uncharacterized. The transcript is spliced from 3 exons. Lineage: Eukaryota; Metazoa; Chordata; Mammalia; Dasyuromorphia; Dasyuridae. The record is from RefSeq and is a predicted model, not a curated record.